AACCCAACCCUGCCAUCAAUUACGACGUUCGGGGAAUAAGCGAUUUUACUAGGUAAGUGGGGAGGCGUAUCGCCUCUUACGCCCUUAUAAAGGGACAAAGAUUCACCCUUUUUACCCGCGCCUUCUUCCUCCUUGCUUGUCCAUUCUCACGCACUCGAGCUCCAGCGCCCAAGUUCACGUCUUUCUUCUCAAACCACUCCAAGCAUGUCCGGAGCGGGAGGCAAGUGGAUGGUCUCCUCCGUCACGGAGGAGCACAUGCAAAGCUAUGGGAAGCCGGAUAUCUGGCCACGGACAUCGCGCACCGGCUACCAGAUGCGGGCAGAUCGUCCCUACGCCCGCACCCCAUGGGAGGGUAGUUUUCCUUACCCACUUUGUCCACGGACAGGGAUUUCCCCUUCACCCAUUUGUCUGCGGGCUCAUGUUCUACUACGGGCUGGAUUUUCAUGGUUUUGCCCCCAAUUUCAUCCUCAACAUCUCGGCGUUUAUCAUCGUGUGCGAGGCCUUCCUCCGCAUCAGGCCCCACUUCGGCCUGUGGCUGAAGACCUUCAAUGUUAAACCGAAGGUGGUGAUUGGCCAGCAAGCGGAGUGCGGAGGCACCAUGGUGGGCAAAAUACCUAACGUCACCUGGCUCGAAGGCUCCUAUGUGGAGACCAUAAAGGGGUGGCAAUCGGGGUGGUUCUACAUCACCGAGCCGCGCGGCACCAAUUGGGUGGUGGCCCUCGAAUUUCGAUCCGGAAUCCCCACGUGGCUCACCUCCUGGAAAGAGAAGGGCAUGUCCUGGGGUUCCCUGGUAGAGCUGACCAGACUCCAGACCUGCAUCAAGAACAUGAUGAGCAAGAAAAUCAAGCUCAUCAAUGUGGUCCAGGUCAUGCUCUUCCGCCGGAUUCUCCCGUGUCAAUGACGGGUAUUCAACUUGUGGGAGUUCGACCUAGCCGAGCACCAGACGCUGCGAGAGCUCUUCGACACGACACACAAGGACGUCUGGAACAUGUUGUUCAAGGGUGCUGAGGUACCUCCUCCCCUUACUGAGGACCGUGGACUCAACACAAAGCGCCACGCCAAUCCAGUAAGUUCUUGUAUCUCAUAGGAUAUUUAUUUGCCCCAGUUUUAAUCAUGUGCGGGAUCUAAGCUUCCAUGCCAUUAAAAGGACUGGGUGGAGACAGCGGAGCAGAUCAAUUGCCCAGCCCCCUGCCUGAAGAUCCUGCAGAUGCUCUCCUAACGGAGAUGCUGGUUCCGGUGCCUUACGAGGUGCCGGCGAAGAAGGCCAAGAAGAAGGCCACGGGGACCCGGAAGGGUCUUCGGCGCAAGGUUAUAUCGGAGUCAUCAUCCAAUAACUCCGACACACCCUCCUCCCACGAAAACGAGGAGGAGGAAGAGGAAAGUUCUCCCCCCUUAGCUGGGGGAGACAAGAAAAGGAAGGCCGACCCAACCGGGGAGGCCGAAGGGUCCAAGAAAAGAAGGACCCUCCUUCCGGACUGCUCCACGACGGCCGCCUACAGCGGCGACGAGUGGUUACCCAGAGAGAAGCCACUGGCAAAGUUGUAAGUAUCUGGAUACCAUAGUAAUUCAUGGUAUGUUUUAUUGCACUGCUUCUUCUUACGCCGAAUAUGAUUAUGCAGUCCGUCCCGAGCCCGUCUUGACGUAUCUUCGUUGGACGGUUCUUUGGACUCGUCGGAUAUGAAUAGCGAUUCACUUUCGACCGCCUCGACCCCUUGCCCUAUGGACAACGUCGAGGUGUUGUCUAAAAAGGCACCGAGCCGAGGGGAGGUAGUCCUGGGGGCACCUCGAGGCGACCUUCCGGACCCUGGGCGCAAAGGGAGCAAGACUCCCACGGGCUCCAAGUUCGGCCCCUAGCCGAACACUGCGCCGGAACCUUCGGUGGUUCCGGACUCUGGCAGGCGAUCCCCCGUUAAAAGGGGCAAGCCGCCCAUGCCAGUGGCCUCUGUCCAUCCAGAGGCACCGGACAACUUGCUGGAAGCGCUUCGCGGCGCUUCCAUCGACGAAGAUCACCACACUAUCAUGAGUGUGGUGAUCGAGAAAGUCCAGUCUGCCAAAAAUGGACUGACUGAAGCUUGUGCUAGGCUCCUAACAGUCUUUGAGGUAAGCAAUCAAAAGAUAGGAAAAUAUUAUCGCAUAGACAGUAGCCCCUGAUGCUCUGUUUGGCGUUCGCGAAGAAAGGCCGAAUAGAGGAUCAAAUAAUGACUCAGGAGUCUAAUCAGAAUACGUCUAUGUGCAUAUGUAGGCUUCACUGCUGGCCGCUACCUCACGUACUGCGGAGGUCGCUGCACUGAAGCAGGACCUUGAGCGGUCUGAAGACGAGCUCGGCCUUACCAAGAGGCAGCUCGAGUAGAGCAAAGGUAAGCAAUACCUUGUCUAUAUAUUAAAAAUAAAUUCAGUUGUAAGUAAUAGGAUCAUUAUGAAUUUGUCAGGGGCCACAACCGAGGUGGCAACCCUGAAGAAGGCGUUGUCCGAGGCCGAAUACAAAGCGGACAAGGAGCGCAUUGAGCGGGAAAAGCAAGAAGCCCGGGUAGGCGAGGUGCAGCAAGAGCUCGAGGCUCUCGCCAAAAAACACGAGUCCUUGGAGCUUGACUCUAAGAGGCGAGAGUCCGAGCUUGCGAAGGCGCUCGAAAGCGCACGGAGCGCCAAGGCUGAAGCCCACAAGACCCUCCAGGAGAUGGAUGCGGUGAAGAAGAUAGCAACAGGUAAGGCAUUCAUUAUGCAAAGUGAGCAUGUGAAGGAAACUUUCCUUUUACUUACCCGAGUUCGGAGCUCUCCAGGAGCGUUCGCAGAUCUUCCCCGCAGUGUACUGGAUGCCGUGGAGUUUUACCGAGCUGAGGAGGAGAGCUCGACGGAAAAGUUGUUCUGGUCUCAGUAUACUGGGACCGAACACCCAAUGCCCUUGAGCGACCAGCUGAAGCAACUAGUCGAGCUUCACAAGGCGGCCGAACAGGCCAUGAAGGGUCUUAUAGCCUGGAUGUGGCAUGGCGAUCCCCUGCCUAGUAGCUACUUCGAUCUGGUGAGGCGCCUCGUAGAUGCCUGCCCACGACUUGAAGUUAUAAAGUGGUCCGUAUGCAUCGAGGGUGCGCGCAGGGCUUUUGCCCAGUCGAAGGUGCACUGGGCGAAGCUGGACGCCGUAAAGCUGGUGAAGGAGGGGCCGCCGGAGGGCAAGGAGCAUCGCUGCCCGAAAUGUAUUAUGACAGUGUCCUUCCAGCCUUGUGGCGGAGGAAUGUGCCAGAGAUGUAAUUUUUGAAUGAACAUGCUCAUGUGAUCCUGUAAUAUGAAACGAGUUCAUUUGCUCUAUGCAAUGCUUUUUAAUUUAAAAUAUUACCUUCUGUGCGGCCGUUUAUAAAAUUUGAGAGUUGGCCAGUCGUCGGCUUCUGCCCCCAUGUAACUAGUACUGGGGUGUUCGGGAUAAACCUGAUCACUCUUUAUCCCAAUUUUGGGUCCUUCGAAGGAGGUGUUCAGCACAAUGAACCAGGCAAUCAGACUAUAAGACUUUAUCACUCUCACUUAGCCAUAGAAGUCUACAAUUUUAAAUUUUGGCGAAGCCCCUAGUAUUCGGAAGACCGAAUUGGGGGCGCUAUAUACGCCUAAGUCGGGCAAGGCUGACUCCUCGCCCGAAGCGGAAAAAGUCUUUAAGGACUUGAGACCUCUCGAACAACGACCAGCUCUCGCCUUAUCAUGAUAGUUAGUUUCCGGCUAUCUCUACUAAGGUGCUCGUCCGGAAGAACCGGGACACAAUCGCAGUAGUUCUCCCAAUGCUACCUUAGCCGAUAUAGCGGAACGUAAGGUACCAAAACAUGGGAGCCGGGCAAACCCAACUAUUGACCCAAGACAUGAUUCGGAGCUGAUGCAUAUAAUGCUAUAAGUUCGGGGUGCCGCACUGUCAAAAGUGUUCAGACUUCUCACACUGUAUUAUGGGGUAAACGAAAGCCCCUGGCGUACUGACCGUACCAGAAUGUACGGGUGCAAGUUGUCGUAAAUGAACAUAUAAGAAAAAAAAGGAUGAAUAAUGCAAUAAUAGACUAAUGCUAUGCAUUGUUAUUUAAAUAAUACAUUGAAGUGUACUAAUACAAGUAGUGCAAUAAGCAGAAAAUAGGACUAUUUGACAUGUCCUAUCCAAGGGCAAGCUGCGUAUGGAUAGUAGAAAGCGGGUAUAUCGAUUAUUAUUAGAGACCACCUGGGGGUUCCCUUGUACAUCUUAGCUUCUUGCCACCUUGGUUGUUCCUUCCCGUAGUGUGUCCGACAAUCGUACUGCCGGAAAGGGCUUCCAGAGAGUUAGGUCCUGAAAGAGAAAAAAUGAUAAAGGUAUGCAGCCCCUAGGGCGGUUAAGCCGCAUUGCGGGACGUGCCCUGAUCGUGCCCCCGCCUAUGCCCAUGGUAUUUUUAGUGCAUAAUUAUGUACGCGUGGCACGGAUUUCGUCGCUUGACUGGGAUUGGGUCGGGGGCCGAAUUGCUAGGCGAGCUCUGAACAUGCCAGGCGAUCCUGUUGCAGUUUACUCCGGACUCGCUUGACGGUGUCCGGGGGUUGUAUCGCCGAAUUGGUGAUUUGCCGUAAAAGGCUGCUUUGUGCUUCUGCUGCGAGGGUUGCAGUGUGCUCUUCCGUGCGGACCGAGCGUUCUGUGUUUCCAUUGACUGUUAUGACCCCCCUAGGUCCUGGCAUCUUGAGCUUGAGGUAUGCGUAAUGUGGUACCACAUUGAAUUUUGCAAAUGCGGUUCGCCCGAGCAGUACGUGAUAGCCACUGCGGAACGGGACGAUAUCGAAGAUUAACUCCUCGCUUCGGAAGUUGACCGGAGAUCCGAAGACCACUUCCAGUGUGAUUGAGCCCGUGCAAUGGGCCUCUACACCUGGGAUGACGCCCUUAAAGGUGGUUUUGGUGGGUUUGAUCCUCGAGGGAUCUAUACCCAUUUUGCGCACUGUAUCCUAAUAGAGUGGGUUUAGGCUACUGUCGCUGUCCAUAAGGACUCGAGUGAGGUGAAAUCCGUCGAUGAUAGGGUCUAGGACCAGUGCGGCGGGUCUGCCAUGACGGAUACUAGUGGGGUGGUCCCUGCGAUCGAAGGUCAUCGGACAAGCGGACCAUGGGUUGAACUUUGGGGCAACGGGCUCAAUCGCAUAGACGUCCCUUAGUGCACGCUUAUGAUCCCUCUUGGGAAUGUGGGUUGCGUAUAUCAUGUUCACCGUAUUCACUUGUGGGGGGAACCUCUUCUGUCCUCCCGUGUUCGGUGGCCGGGGCUCCUCAUCGUCAUCACUAUGCAGCCCCUUGUCCUUGUUUUCAGCAUUUAACUUGCCGACCUGCUUGAACACCCAGCAUUCUCUGUUGGUGUGAUUGGCUGGCUUAUCGGGGGUGUCGUGGAUUUGACACGAGCGAUCAAGUAUGCGAUCCAAACUAGACGGGCCCGGAGUACUUCUUUUGAAUGGCUUUUUCCGCUGGCCGGAUCUAGAGCCUCUGAAUCCGGCAUUGACUGUUGUAUCAUCGGUGUUAUCGCCGUUGUUGCGGCGCUUUUGUCUGUUACGACGUGGUCUGCCAUUGGCAUCUUUGGUAUCCGAAGUGCCCGAAUUCCUUGAUGUGUUGUUGCUGCGAGCUAGCCAGCUAUCCUCGCCCGUGCAAAAGCGGGUCAUGAGUGUCGUGAGGGCUGCCAUAGACUUCGGCUUCUCCUAGCCGAGGUGUCGGGCAAGCCACUCGUCACGGAUGUUAUGCUUGAAUGCCGCUAAGGCCUCUGCAUUCGGACAGUCGAUAAUUUGAUUUUUCUUAGUUAGGAACCGUGUCCAGAAUUGCCUAGCCGAUUCCCCUGGCUGUUGAGUUAUAUGGAUCAAGUCAUCAGCAUCCGGUGGUCGCACAUAAGUACCCUGGAAGUUGUCAAGGAAUGCGUCCUCCAAAUCCUCCCAACUAUCGAUGGAGUCUGCUGGCAAGCUAUUCAGCCAAUGCCGAGCUGGUCCUUUGAGUUUUAGUGGGAGGUACUUGAUGGCAUGCAGAUCAUCACCGCGAGCCAUGUGGAUGUGAAGGAGGAAAUCCUCAAUCCAUACAACGGGAUUUGUUGUACCAUCAUAUGAUUCGAUAUUUACGGGUUUAAAACCCUCCGGUAAUUCGUGAUCCAUAACUUCAUCAGUGAAGCAUAGGGGGUGUGCGGCGCCUCUGUGCCGGGCAAUAUCACGACGCAGUUCAUAUGAGUCUUGUCUGUUGUAUUCGGCCCAGCCGGAUUUACUUUUAGUGUAUCCGGCACGACGGUCAUUGUCCCGCGUUGGCGCGCGCCCCCGUGACCCGUAUAUUGACCUGGCAUGUUUUGCCCUGCUGUCCAAUACGUCUCCCAGGUCCCGUGUGUUGCCCCGGGCCUUGGUAUUUUUGAUUGAGUGGUGGCGGGGUGCAGGCUGAACUUCAGGCUGAAACGCCUCUCUGGCUCGACCACGCGGUGGCCGGUUAGCCGCAUCGUACACUAGUGAUGGAGGUUUCAAUACUUCCUCCUCGAGGUGAGGUAGCAACCUGCGCUUUGGGUAACUCUUGGAGGGGCGCUCGAGUUCGUAUUCCUCGUCCGCAAGGACUUCGGUCCAUCUGUCUGCUAGCAAGUCUUGAUCAGCUUGAAGCUGUUGUUGCUUUUUCUUCAGGCUAUUUGCUGUGGCCAUAAGCCGGCGCUUGAAGCACUCCUGCUCAACAGGAUCCUCAGGCACGAUAAAUUCUUCGUCGCCGGGGCUCACCUCGUCUUUGGAGAGAGGCAUGUAAUUGUCCUCCUCCGUUCUCCAUCUGCUGCCUGCUCUAGAGGGCUAGCUUGUUCACCCUCCCGCUCUACAUCGUGCUGGAGGGGAUUGUGGUUGUCUUCGACACUAUCCGGAGUGUUAUUGUCUCUUGUGCUGGUAUCACUACUUUUGCUAUGGCGGGACUUAGAGCGGCGCUGCUGACGUCGGCGCUUAGGUUGCUUCUUGGAGGGGUCAUCCUCCGCUGUCUCCUCGCCAUUGCCUUCUUUGGGGGUGUCCACCAUGUAUAUAUCAUAUGAUGAGGUGGCGGUCCAGCGCCCUAUGGGCGGUAGUUCCUGUUCGUCUCCUGCAUUGUCGUCCAUACCGUCGAUGUCUUCGGAGUCGAAGUCGAGCAUGUCGGUUAAAUCGUCGAAAGUGGCUACUAAGUGGGUGGUGGGUGGGCAGCGAAUUUCUUCGUCGUCCGCAUCCCAUUCUAGCCGGACAUAGAUCGGCCAAGGUUCUCCUGACAAGGAGAGAGACCUUAAUGAAUUUAGCACAUCGCCGAAAGGCGAGUGCAGAAAGAUAUCCGCGGAGGUGAACUCCAUGAUCGGCGCCCAAUCGAAUUCGAUAGGCACGGAUGCAGGCGGCUCGGAGUCCGUGGCCGGAGACGAAUCCAGUGGUUCGGCAACACGGCUCUCGUAAGGGGUGAAGUCAGUAUCCGGCUCCAUCGCCACUGAGAGUGCGGCCUCCAUGGCGGGGUCUAUCCCUUCGUCCUCGGAUGGCGCAAUUUGCUCCAGAUUGAAGGCCGGAGUAGUUGCAAAUGCGAUCUCCCGAACACUGUCCGGCGGCAGAGUUACGUCAUGCUCAUUGUGAUUGUGCGGUGCACCUGACAUGGGCUCAAAUCCGUCGAAGAUCAAGUCUCUGCGGAUGUCGGCAGUGUAGUUUAAGUUUCCGAACCUGGCCUGAUGGCCAGGGGCGUAGCUCUCGAUCUGCUCCAGAUGGCCAAGCGAAUUGGCCCGCGGUGCGAAGCCGCCGAAUACGAAGAUCUAUCCGGGGAGGAAAACCUCACCUUGGACCGCAUCGUUACCGAUGAUCGAAGGGGCCAUCGAGCCUUAUGGUGACGGCACAGUGGAACUCUCAAUGAAAGCACCAAUGUCGGUGUCAAAACCGGCGGAUCCCGGGUAGGGGUCCCGAACUGUGCGUCUAAGGCGGAUGGUAACAGGAGGCAGGGGACACGAUGUUUUACCCAGGUUCGAGCCCUCUUGAUGGAGGUAAUACCCUAUGUCCUGCUUGAUUGAUCUUGAUGAUAUGAGUAUUACAAGAGUUGAUCUACCACGAGAUCGUAGAGGCUAAACCCUAGAAGCUAGCCUAUGGUAUGAUUGUUGUUGUCCUACGGACUAAACCCUCCGGUUUAUAUAGACACUGGAGGGGGCUAGGGUUACACAGAGUCGGUUACAAGGGAGGAGAUCUACAUAUCCGUAUCGCCAAGCUUGCCUUCCACGCCAAGGAAAGUCCCAUCCGGACAUGGGACGAAGUCUUCAAUCUUGUAUCUUCAUAGUCCAACAGUCCGGCCAAAGGAUAUAGUCCGGCUGUUCGGAGACCCCCUAAUCCAGGACUCCCUCAAUGAUCAAGUUUAUCUAUGAACAAUACUUGAAUCUUCUCUAAAUUCUUUUAUGUAUGAUUGGUUAUCUUUGCAAGUCUCUUCGAAUUAUCAGUUUGGUUUCGCCUACUAGAUUGAUCUUUCUUGCAAUGGGAGAAGUGCUUAGCUUUGGGUUCAAUCUUGUGGUGUCCUUUCCCAGUGACAGUAGGGGCAGCAAAGCACGUAUUGUAUUGUUGCCAUCGAGGAUAACAAGAUGGGGUUUAUUUCAUAUUGCAUCAUUUUAUCUUUCUUAAAGCGAUACUCUGUUCUCUUGAACUUAAUACUCUAGAUGCAUGCUGGAUAGCGGUCGAUGUGUGGAGUAAUAGUAGUAGAUGUAGGCAGGAGUCGGUCUACUUGUUUCGGACGUGAUGCCUAUAUACAUGAUCAUACCUAUAUAUUCUCAUAACUAUGCUCAAUUCUAUCAAUUUCUCAACAAUAAUUUGUUUACCCGCCGUGAAUACUUAUGCUCUUGAGAGAAGCCACUAGUGAAACCUAUGGCCCCCGGGUCUAUCUUCCAUCAUAUUAGUCUUCCAAUACUUAGUUAUUUCCUUUGCCUUUUAUUUUACUUUGCAUCUUUAUCAUAAAAAUACCAAAAAUAUGAUCUUAUCAUAUCUAUUAGAUCUCACUCUCGUAAUUGACCGUGUAGGGAUUGACAACCCCUUAUCGCAUUGGUUGCGAGGAUUUAUUUGUUUGUGUAGGUACGAGGGACUCAUGCGUGGCCUCCUACUGGAUUGAUACCUUGGUUCUCAAAAACUGAGGGAAAUACUUACACUACUCUGCUGCAUCACCCUUUCCUCUUCAAGGGAAAACCAAUGCAAGUGCUCAAGAGGUAGCAAGAAGGAUUUCUGGCGCCAUUGCCGGGGAGGUCUACGCAAAAGUCAGCAUACCAAGUACCCAUCACAACCCUUAUCUCCUGUAUUACAUUAUUUGCCAUUUGCCUCUCGUUUUCCUCUCCCCCACUUCACCCUUGCCAUUUUAUUCGCCCUCUCUCUCUCUCUCUAUCCUCCCUCUCUUUCUCUAUUUGCCUCUUUUUGCCCGUCCCUCGUUUACUUGUGUGUUGGAUUGCUUGCUUGUCACGAUGGCUCAAGAUAACACUAAAUUGUGUGACUUUACCAAUACCAACAACAAUGAUUUUAUUAGCACUCCGAUUGCUCCUCUUACUGAUGCUGAAUCUUGUGAAAUUAAUGCUACCUUGCUGAAUCUUGUCAUGAAAGAUCCGUUUUCUGGCCUUCCUAGUGAAGAUGCCGCUACCCAUCUAAAUAGCUUCGUUGAUUUGUGUGAUAUGCAAAAGAAGAAAGAUGUGGAUAAUGAUAUUGUUAAAUUGAAACUAUUUCCUUUUUCGCUUAGAGAUCGUGCUAAAGCUUGGUUUUCGUCUUUGCCUAAAAAUAGUAUUGAUUCGUGGAAUAAGUGCAAAGAUGCUUUUAUCUCUAAGUAUUUUCCUCCCACUAAGAUCAUCUCUCUUAGAAACGAUAUUAUGAAUUUUAAGCAACUUGAUCAUGAACAUGUUGCACAAGCUUGGGAGAGGAUGAAAUUAAUGAUACGUAAUUGCCCUACGCAUGGUUUGAAUUUGUGGAUGAUUAUACAAAAAUUUUAUGUCGGAUUGAAUUUUGCUUCUAGAAAUCUUUUUGAUUCGGCCGCGGGAGGCACUUUUAUGGAAAUCACUUUAGGAGAAGCUACUAAACUCCUAGAUAAUAUUAUGGUUAAUUAUUCUCAAUGGCACACUGAAAGAUCUACUAAUAAGAAAGUGCAUGCGAUAGAAGAAAUUAAUGUUUUGAGUGGAAAGAUGGAUGAACUUAUGAAAUUAUUUGCUAAUAAAAGUGUUUCUUCUGAUCCUAAUGAUAUGCCUUUGUCUACUUUGAUUGAGAAUAAUAACAAAUCUAUGGAUGUGAAUUUUGUUGGUAGGAACAAUUUUGGUAACAACGCAUAUAGAGGAAACUUUAACCCUAGGCCGUAUCCUAGUAAUUCCUCUAAUAAUUAUGGUAAUUCCUACAAAAAUUCUUAUGGAAAUUAUAAUAAGAUGCCCUCUGAUUUUGAAUCUAAUAUUAAAGAAUUUAUUACUUCGUAAAAGAAUUUCAAUGCUUUGAUUGAAGAAAAAUUGCUUAAGAUUGAUGAGUUGGCUAGGAACAUUGAUAGAGUUUCUCUUGAUGUUGAUUCUUUGAAACUUAGAUCUAUUCCACCUAAGCAUGAUGUCAAUGAGUCUCUCAAAGCCAUGAUAAUUUCCAUUGAUGAGUGCGAAGAAAGAACCGCUAGGAUGCGUGCUAAGAAAGAUUGUUUUAUAAAAGUGUGUUCUUCUAGUUUCCAUGAUAAUAAAGAUGAAGAUCUAAAAGUUAUUGAUGUGUCCCCUAUUAAAUCUUUGUUUUGCAAUAUGAAUCUUGAUAAUGGGACUGAAUAUGAUCCACCUUUACCUAGACGGCGUUCCAAAAAUUUGGAGUCUUUAGAUCUUGAUGCUAAAAUUGUUAAAAGUGGGAUUGAAGAAGUCAAAACUUUAAAUAUUGAUGAACCUACUAUUUUGGAUUUCAAGGAAUUUAAUUAUGACAAUUGCUCUUUGAUAUAUUGUAUUUCCUUGUUGCAAUCCAUGCUAAAUUCUCCUCAUGCUUAUAGUCAAAAUAAAGCUUUUACUAAACAUAUCGUUGAUGCUUUGAUGCAAUCUUAUGAAGAAAAACUUGAGUUGGAAGUUUCUAUCCCUAGAAAAAUUUAUGAUGAGUGGGAACCUACUAUUAAAAUUAAAAUUAAAGAUCAUGAAUGCUAUGCUUUGUGUGAUUUGGGUGCUAGUGUUUCCACGAUUCCAAAGACUUUAUGUGAUUUGUUAGGUUUCCGUGAUUUUGAUGAUUGCUCUUUAAACUUGCACCUUGCGGAUUCCACUAUUAAGAAACCUAUGGGAUGAAUUAAUGAUGUUAUUAUUGUUGCAACUAGGAAUUAUGUGCCCGUAGAUUUUAUUGUUCUUGACAUAGAUUGCAAUCCUUCAUGUCCUAUUAUUCUUGGUAGACCUUUCCUUAGAACGAUUGGUGCAAUUAUUGAUAUGAAGGAAGGGAAUAUUAGAUUCGAAUUUCCGUUAAGGAAAGGCAUUGAACACUUUCCUAUAAAGAAAAUUAAAUUACCUUAUGAAUCUAUUAUGAGAGCCACUUAUGGAUUGCCUACCAAAGAUGGCACCACCUAGAUCUAUCCUUGCUUUUUAUGCCUAGCUAAGGGCAUUAAACGAUAGCGCUUGUUGGGAGGCAACCCAAUUUUAUUUUUAUUCCUUGCUUUUUUGCUCCUGUUUAUUAAUAAAUAAUUUAUAUAGCCUCUGUUUUGGUUGUGUUUGUUGUGUUUAAUUAGUGUUAGUGCCAAGUAGAACCGUUGGGAAGACUUGGGGAAAGUCUUGUUAAUCUUGCUGUAAAAAACAGAAACUUUAACGUUCACGAGAACUGCUGACAUUUUUAUUUGGAAAGUGAUAUUUAGUUAACUCUUUUUGCAUACGUUUAAUAGAUAAAUUCCUCACGUCCAGCAAUUUAUUUUAGAAUUUUCGGGGUUCCAUAUCUUGCGUUAGCUACAGAUUACUACAGAUUGUUCAGUUUUUGACAGAUUCUGUUUUUCGUGUGUUGUUUGCUUAUUUUGAUGAAUCUAUGGCUAGUAAAAUAGUUUAUAAACCAUAGAUAAGUUGGAAUAAAUUAGGUUUAACACCAAUAUAAAUAAAUAAUGAGUUAAUUACAGUACCUUGAAGUGGUGUUUUGUUUUCUUUCGCUAAUGGAGCUCACGAGAUUUUCUACUUUAAGUUUUGUGUUGUGAAGUUUUCAAGUUUUGGGUAAAGAUUUGAUGGAUUAUGGAACAAGGAGUGGCAAGAGCCUAAGCUUGGGGAUGCCCAUGGAACCCCCAAGAUAAUCUAAGGACACCUAAAAGCCAAAGCUUGGGGAUGCCCCGGAAGGCAUCCCCUCUUUUGUCUACUUCUAUCGAUAACUUUACUUGGAGCUAUAUUUUUAUUUACCACAUGAUAUGUGUUUUGCUUGGAGCGUCUUGUAUUAUUUGAGUCUUUAUUUGUUAGUUUUCCACAAUCAUCCUUGUUGCACACACCUUUUUGAGAGAGACACACAUGAUUCGGAAAUUAUUAGAAUACUCUAUGUGCUUCACUUAUAUCUUUUGAGUUAUAUAGUUUUUGCUCUAGUGCUUCACUUAUAUCUUUUAGAGCACGGUGGUAGAUUUGUUUUAUAGAAACCAUUGUUCUCUCAUGCUUCACUUAGAUUAUUUUGAGAGUCCUACAAAACAGCAUGGUAAUUUGCUUUAAUUAUUUGAGGCAUUCAAGAUUAAUAAAUAAAAAAAUUCUUAUGAGGGUGUUGAAUACUAUGAGAAGUUUGAAACUUGAUAAUUAUUUUGAGAUAUGGAGAUGGUGAUAUUAGAGUCGUGCUAGUUGAGUAGUUGUGAAUUUGAUAAAUGCUUGUGUUGAAGUUUGUGAUUCCCGUAGCAUGCACGUAUGGUGAACCGUUAUGUUAAGAAGUCGGAGCAUGAUGUAUUUAUUGAUUGUCCUCCUUAUGAGUGGCAGUCGGGGACGAGCGAUGGUCUUUUCCUACCAAUCUAUCCCCCUAGGAGCAUGCGCGUAGUACUUUGCUUCGAUAACUAAUAGAUUUUUGCAAUAAGUAUGUGAGUUCUUUAUGACUGAUGUUGAGUCCAUGGAUUAUACGCACUCUCACCCUUCCACCGUUGCUAGCCUCUCUAAUACCGCGCACCUUUCACCGAUAUCAUACACCCACCAUAUACCUUCCUCAAAACAGCCACCAUACCUACCUAUCAUGGCAUUUCCAUAGCCAUUCUGAGAUAUAUUGCCAUGAAACUUUCCACCAUUCCGUUUAUCAUGACACGCUCCAUCAUUGUCAUAUUGCUUUGCAUGAUCAUGUAGUUGACAUUUUAGUUGUGGCAAAGCCACCGUUCAUAAUUCUUUCAUAUAAGUCACUCAUGCAUCAUUGCUAUCCCGGUACACCGCCGGAGGCAUUCGUAUAGAGUCAUACUUUUUUCUAGUAUCGAGUUGUAAUCAUUGAGUUGUAAAUAAAUAGAAGUGUGAUGAUCAGCAUUCAUAGAGUAUUGUCCCAAAUAAAAAAAAGAGAAAGGCCAAAGAAAAAAAGAAGGCCCCAAAAAAGGGCAAUACUACUAUCCUUUUUCCACCCUUGUGCUUCAAAGUAGCACCAUGAUCUUUAUGAUAGAGAGUCUCCUUUGUUAUCACUUUCAUAUAAUAGUGGGAAUUUUUCAUUAUAGAACUUGGCUUGUAUAUUCCAACGGUGGGCUUCCUCAAAAUGCCCUAGGUCUUCGUGAGCAAGCAAGUUGGAUGCACACCCACUUAGUUUAUUUUUGUUGAGCUUUCAUAUAUUUAUAGCUCUAGUGCAUCUGUUGCAUGGCAAUCCUUACUCACUCACAUUGAUAUCUAUUGAUGGGCAUCUCCAUAGCCGGUUGAAAAAAACGCCUAGUUGAUGUGAGACUAUCUUCUCCCUUUUUGUCUCCUCCGCAACCACCAUUCUAUUCCACCUAUAGUGCUAUGUCCAUGGCUCACGCUCGUGUAUUGCGUGAAAAUUGAAAAAGUUUGAGAACAUUAAAAGUAUGAAACAAUUGCUUGGCUUGCCAUCGGGGUUGUGCAUGAUUUGAAUACUUUGUUUGGUGAAGAUGGAGCAUAGCCAGACUAUAUGAUUUUGUAGGGAUAACUUUCUUUGGCCAUCUUAUUUUGAAGAGACAUAAUUGCUUAGUUAGUAUGCUUGAAGUAUUAUUAUUUCUAUGUCAAUAUUAAACUUUUGUCUUGAAUCUUUUGGAUCUGAAUAUUCAUGCCACAAUUAAGAGAAUUACAUUGAAAUUAUGCCAAGUAGCAUUCCACAUCAAAAAUUCUGUUUUUAUCAUUUACCUACUCGAGGACGAGCAGGAAUUAAGCUUGGGGAUGCUUGAUACGUCUCCAACGUAUCUAUAAUUUUUGAUUGUUCCAUGCUAUAUUAUAUUCUGUUUUGGACAUUACUGGGCUUUAUUAUACACUUUUAUAUUAUUUUUCGGACUAGCCUAUUAACCGGAGGCCCAGCCCAGAAUUGCUGUUUUUUGCCUAUUUUAGGGUUUCGAAGAAAAGGAAUAUCAAACGGAGUCCAAACGGAAUGAAACCUUCGGGAACAUGAUUUUCGGAAUGAACAUGAUAAAGAGGACUUGGACCCUACAUCAAGAAAUCAACCAGGAGGCCACAGGUAGGGGGCGCGCCCUCCACCCUCGUGGGCCCCCUAUUGCUCCACCGACGUACUCAUUCCUCCUAUAUAUACCUAUGUACCCCAAACUACCAGAUACGGAGCCAAAACCCUAAUUCCACCGCCGUAACUUUUUGUAUCCACGAGAUCCCAUCUUGGGGCCUGUUCCGGAACUCCGCUGGAGGGGGCAUUGAUCAUGGAGGGCUUCUACAUCAACACCAUAGCCCUUCCGAUGAAGUGUGAGUAGUUUACAUCAGACCUACGGGUCCAUAGUUAUUAGUUAGAUGGCUUCUUCUCUCUUUUUGGAUCUCAAUACAAAGUUCUCCCCCUCUCUUGUGGAGAUCUAUUCGAUGUAAUCUUCUUUUGCGGUGUGUUUGUUGAGACCGAUGAAUUGUGGGUUUAUGAUCAAGCUUAUCUAUGAACAAUAUUUGAAUCUUCUCUGAAUUCUUUUAUGUAUGAUUGGUUAUCUUUGCAAGUCUCUUCGAAUUAUCAGUUUGGUUUGGCCUACUAGAUUGAUCUUUCUUGCAAUGGGAGAAGUGCUUAGCUUUGGGUUCAAUCUUGCGGUGUCCUUUCCAGUGACAGUAGGGGCAGCAAGGCACAUAUUGUAUUGUUGCCAUCGAGGAUAACAAGAUGGGGUUUAUUUCAUAUUGCAUGAGUUUAUCCCUCUACAUCAUGUCAUCUUGCUUAAAGCGUUACUCUGUUCUCUUGAACUUAAUACUCUAGAUGCAUGAUGGAUAGCGGUCGAUGUGUGGAGUAAUAGUAGUAGAUGCAGGCAGGAGUCGGUCUACUUGUUUCAGACGUGAUGCCUAUAUACAUGAUCAUACCUAGAUAUUCUCAUAACUAUGCUCAAUCACGUCCGAAACAAGUAGACCGACUCCUGCGCGCAUCUACUACUAUUACACCACACAUCGACUGCUAUCCAGCAUGCAUCUAGAGUAUUAAGUUCAAGAGAGCAGAGUAACACUUUAAGCAAGAUGACAUGAUGUAGAGGGAUAAACUCGUGCAAUAUGGAAUAAACCCCAUCUUGUUAUCCUCGAUGGCAACAAUACAAUACGUACCUUGCUGCCCCUACUGUCACUGGGAAAGGACACCGCAAGAUUGAACCCAAAGCUAAGCACUUCUCCCAUUACAAGAAAGAUUAAUCUAGUAGGCCAAACCAAACUGAUAAUUCGAAGAGACUUGCAAAGAUAACCAAUCAUACAUAAAAGAAUUCAGAGAAGAUUCAAAUAUUGUUCAUAGAUAAACUUGAUUGUAAACCCACAAUUCAUUGGUCUCAACAAACACACCGCAAAAGAAGAUUACAUCGAAUAGAUCUCCACAAGAGAGGGGGAGAACUUUGUAUUGAGAUCCAAAAAGAGAGAAGAAGCCAUCUAGCUAAUAACUAUGGACCCGUAGGUCUGAGGUAAACUACUCACACUUCAUCGAAAGGGCUAUGGUGUUGAUGUAGAAGCCCUCCAUGAUCAAUGCCCCCUCCAGCGGAGCUCCGGAACAGGCCCCAAGAUGGGAUCUCAUGGAUACAGAAAGUUACGGCGGUGGAAUUAGGGUUUUGGCUCUGUAUCUGGUAGUUUGGGGGUACAUAUGUAUAUAUAGGAGGAAGGAGUACGUCGGUGGAGCAAUAGGGGGCCCACGAGGGUGGAGGGCGCCCCCCCCUACCUCGUGGCCUCCUGGUUGAUUUCCUGACGUAGGGUCCAAGUCCUCUGGAUCAUGUUCAUUCCGAAAAUCACGUUCCCGAAGGUUUCAUUCCGUUUGGACCCCGUUUGAUAUAUUUUUCUCCGAAACCCUAAAAUAGGCAAAAAAACAACAUUUCUAGGCUGGGCCUCCGGUUAAUAGGUUAGUCCCAAAAAUAAUAUAAAAGUGUAUAAUAAAGCCCAAUAAUGUCCAAAACAGAAUAUAAUAUAGCAUGGAACAAUAAAAAGUUAUAGAUGCGUUGAGACGUAUCAGCAGCAAGGUUGUUGCCUCGAUUGUUGGAGGAUCAUUAAUGAAGGGUAUCUUCGAUUUUAAUGAACAAGUGAUGUCAUGGCGGUUUAUUACGAACCUGGAAGAUGACGUCGUGGCGGUUUACAAGAUCUGUGCGAAGGUGUAGAAGGAGGAAAUUUUCUAAGUGUUGAAGAUUGACAUGAACGAGUUCAAAUCAAUUUGGGGCCUAAUGUUGGGGAUAUUACUAUUAAGUAUAAACCGGCCAUGAGGGGCCGGGUUAUGCCCACAAGGAGUUAGUCAUGUUUGAAGCCCGUGAAGACAAGCGGUAUGGCGCUUUACAGAGGAGAUCUACAUGAAGGCCCAGGGCCCAAAGGCGGAUUAGGGCCCGUAGAUAUAAACCGCCAUAUGAUAUGUAACUUAUGUUGUAAGUCAAGGAAAGGUAGAAACCUAGCCGGGCACGUUUAUGAGCCGGCUUCGGGAUUCUGUAAACCGCCGGGCGUCAACCUCUGUAUAUAAAGGGACGACCCGGCGGUAGUUUAGGGACAGACAGAAAACGAUAACUCGAGAGCCAGGCAAAACGGAUUCGCUCCCUGGUCAUCGAAACCCAAGCAAUUCCAUCACAACUGGACGUAGGCUUUUACCUUCAUCGUAAGGGGUUGAACCAGUAUAAUUCCUCGCGUCCCUUGUCCGCUUUAACCCCUUCAAGCUAACCCGUUGCGAUGGCUCCAUGACUAAGUCCUUUCACGAGGACAUCAGCCGUGACAAAACCGCGACACCAUAGGAAUGCUUUGGGUGUACCAAACAUCACAACGUAACUGUGUGUCUAUAAAGGUGCACUACAGGUAUCUCUGAAAGUGUCUGUUGGGUUGGCAUGAAUUGAGACUGGGAUUUGUCACUCCGUAUGACGAAGAGGUAUCUCUGGGCCCACUCGGUAAUGCAUCAUCAUAACGAGCUCAAUGUGACUAAGGAGUUAGCCAUGGGAUCAUGCGUUAUGGAACGAGUAAACAGACUUGCCGGUAACGAGAUUGAACAAGGUAUGGGGAUACCAACGAUCGAAUCUUGGGCAAGUAACAUAACGAUGGACAAAGGGAAUUGUAUACGAGAUUGAUUGAAUCCCCGACAUCGUGGUUCAUCCGAUGAGAUCAUCGUGGAACAUGUGGGAGCCAACAUGGGUAUCCAGAUCCCGCCGUUGGUAAUUGUCCAGAGAGAUGUCUCAGUCAUGUCUGCAUGGUUCCCAAACCUGUAGGCUCUACACACUUAAGGUUCGGUGGCGCUAGAGUUGUUAUGGGAAAUAGUAUGUGGUUACCGAAGGUUGUUCGGAGUCCCGGAUGAGAUCCCGGAUGUCACGAGGAGUUCCGGAAUGGUCCGGAGGUGAAGAGUUAUAUGGGAAGUCCAGUUUCAGUCGCCGGAAUAUUUUCGGGGGUUAUCGGUAUUGUACCGGGACCACCGAAAGGUGUCCGGGGGUCCCCCGGGUGGAGCCACCUGCCACGGGGGACUUAAUGGUCUGAAUACGGGAUCAAGUUCCCAAGGGCCCAAGGCGCCUAGGGUUGAAAACCCUAGGGGGUGGGGGCGCCUCCCACCAAACUUGGGGGUCAAGUUCCCCCCCCCCUUCGCCGCCGCCCCCCUUUAGAUGGGAUCUAGGGGCGCCCCCUCUCCCCUUCACCCUAUAAAUAGAGGUGGGUGGGAGGGCAGCCGCACACCUUCCCUGGCGCAGCCCUCCCCCUCUCCAACACCUCCUCCUCCGCAGUGUUUGGCGAAGCCCUGCCGGAGAACUGCAAGCUCCACCACCACGCCGUCGUGCUGCCGGAGCUCUCCCUCAACUUAUCCUCUCCCCUUGAUGGAUCAAGAAGGAGGAGACGUCCUCAGGUUGUACGUGUGUUGAACGCGGAGGCGCCGUCCGUUCGGUGCUAGAUCAGAUCUUCCGUGAUUUGAAUCACCGUGAGUACGACCCCAUCAUCUGCGUUCCUUGUAACGCUUCCGCUUAGCGAUCUUCAAGGGUAUGAAGAUGCACUCCCUCUCUCUCUCUUGUUGCUAGCAUCUCCUAGAUUGAUCUCGAUGACACAUAGGAAAAUUUUGAAUUAUUACUAUGUUCCCCAACAGUUACCACCUUACGUGCCGCUAGUUCGGCUAAGGUAGUAAAGGGAGAACUAUUGCGAUCGUGUUUCUGGUUCGUCCAGUCAAACACCUCAAUAGAGAAAGCCGAAAACUGGCUGUCAUGAUAUGGUGAGAGCAGGUCGGCGAUUCGAUGACUUACUACAAAUCAUUUGUGAUUUACUCCAUGUUACACGAAGGGUUGGUCUUCACCCAGUCAUGCGACAAAGGCAUCCUAGUCCGGACGGCUGCUUACGCACCAGGGGCUAGUACUUAGCCCCGCUGUCAAACUCCUAUAGCUAAGUGAAAGUAAUAAAACCGCAUAGUCUGAUUGCCCGGUUCGCUACACAGACACCUCCUUUAUGGACCAAGACGUUGGGUCAAGUGUGAUCACGCGCUAUACCGAACACCCCCGUAGCAUCUACGUGGGGGCUGAAGCUGACGACUGGUAAACUUCCAGAGUUAAAGUGGUUGCACAGGAGGAGAAUAAAGGCAUAAAAUAUAUUACAAGCCUUGGUUCACAAAACAAAGUUUUAACAGCCCUGAUACAUUCACUCAAACAUAACAUCCUUUGAGCAUUGGCCCUCUACUAUUCGGGCACCCGCUAAGUUAUCUUCAAAGUAUCUCUCCGGCUUGCGGUGGUCCUUGCCUUCGGGCGGGCCUGCGGUUGUGACAUCGGUGGCCUUCAUCUUUGCCUAGUGCAUCUUGACAUGGGCAAAGGCCAUCCGCACACCCGCUAUGCACGCCGAGCACUUCACAGCUUCAACUCGGGGCAGCGCAUCGACAAGUCGCCUCACCAAGCCGAAGUAGCUGCUAGGAAUGGGUUCGGCUGGCCAGAGCUAGACUAUGAGAUCCUUCAUGGCCAAGCCGGACAUCAUAUGCAGCUCCGACAGUUGCUUCAUCUGGUUGUUCAACAGCGUCGGGUGCUUCGGCGCCAGGAACUGUGACCAGAACAGCUUCUCUGUCGAGUUCCCUCCUGGGCUCGGAAGAACUGCGCGGCGUCGACGGCACUCCUCAGCAGAUCCGCAAAGGCAUCUGGAGAACUCCAUAGAUGAGUGAGCAAGGCGUAUCCUUUACCCGCAAAUAUACUCUGCAAAAGACAGGGCUUACGAGUCACUAUUUGUCGGCCCGCUGGAUCUCUUCACGAGCACCCUCGAACUCGAUCCGUGCCUCUUUUGACUCCUGGAGGGCCGUGUCUCUAUUUGGCUUGGGCCAUAGUCUUCUCCUCCAAGGCCUCGCACUUGCCGGUGGUGUCCUUCAGUUCUUGCUCCACUUCAGCCACCCUCUCCUCGUGCUGGCGGCGGGCGACCUGUUCAGUCUUCAAUUUUGCAGCCGCUUUGUCAGCGGCUGCUCUAUUCGCCUUCGCCUCCUCCUUGGCUUGGGCAAGGGCACUUGAGGGUCUCAACCUCGGCCGCACCAACUGCACUCAUAAUCACAACAGUAAAUGAGUUCAACUUUUGAUUUGCAUAUCACUUUAGAUAUAUGAUCAAACUCUUUAAAAGUACACGCAUACCUUGCGUCUCAUCAAACCACUUGUUAAUGCGGUCGAAUUCAUCAUUGGCCAACUUCAGUUUUCGAUUAAGCUCGGAAGCUUCGGAGGCCUGGGCGGUCGCCGCCAGCAGGGGAGCCUGUUAUAAAAUAGAAACGUAUGUCACCUCUUCCGAAUACUAUGUGAUCCUCUGUUCGGCUUUUUCAACACCGGACAGAGUUUCAGGGGCUACUAUCUAUAUACAGGUAUAUUUCCUUUAUAUGAAAAAGCGUCUAGAGCAUUACGUCGCAUACCUCGAAGCCUGUUAGCGGGCUGGUGAAGGCUUCGUUCAACCCGCUCUUGGCAGACUGAACCUUCUGAUGGGUGCGGUGCUCCUCCACGAUGGAAGCACGUCGCAGUGCUUCCACCAGAGUAUUCGACGCCUCUGGAGCCGAUGCUCCCCCCUCUUCCAAAGGGGGUUGCUCGCCCGAUUCCGGAGCCACGUUGGUCUCCGGAAUAAUGUCCGGCUGGGGGCCGGCCUGGUCAAGGCCCCCACCGUCGGUCUCCAUGGGGGUCGCACCCCCGAUGUCUUCGGCCGCCGAGGUAUUACCCUCGGGCGCCGUCUCGCCAGCCUCGCCCACCUCUUUGCGGCCUAGAAAGGUCCUUCGGGACAACACCUCGGUGUCAUCCGUGAUGAUUGGCGAAGGGGCUCGCGGGGGCAUCUCGCUCUCUGCCAUCUCUGGUGGCAGAGAACUCCCCUCAGAUAGCGAAGGGUCAGGGAGGUCGCGAGCAGGGCUGAAAAACAUAUAGUAUAAUAUGUUAUAUUAUGAAAACAUAGUGGACCGAAGACAUAUAAUAGAUCUUUGGGUGCUUACGAUUCGGCCAGGGGCUUCACCCUGGGAAGCCCCUUGGGGAUAGGUUCGGCCUCCAAAUCCGAACCAUCCGAGAGGGUCAUCUUCCCCCUCUUGGGCGCCUCCUCCUUCGUGUCUGUGGAGGCUUCCCUCUUCUUCUUCUUCCCCUUAAGAGGGGAGUCACUUUCCACCUCCUCCUCCUCGUCGUCUUCGUCUCCCUCGUGGGAGGAGGGGAUUUUGGUCUCUCUGAACACUGCGUCCGAAGGACCCUUGUGGAGGAGGCCGCCCUUGGCCUACUUGCCCUUCUUCUUCUUGGCCUUCUUCUCCGACGCCUGAUAAGGCACCGGGACCAGCAUCUUCGUCAACCGGGGUUCGGCCGGGUCUUCAGGCAGUGGGGCCGGACACUUAAUCCGCUCAACCUUUGCUAUCCAGCCCUGUACAAGAGACAAAAACUCAUUAUGUUUGAGGAAAUUAUGACCGAAUGUAUAUUUGGGAAAAUCAUACUUACCGAUGUGGCCGAAUUCUCGCUGUCGAGACCGAUGUCUUCGGUCUCCUUCAGCCAUGCUUUUUGGGCCUUGAACAAUAGCUUCCAGAUGUCUUCGUGCGUUGUGCCGAAGAAGUGCUUCAAGGUCCGAGGAUCUUCUGGAUUGAACUCCCACACGUGAGAGGGCCGGAAUUGACAUGGAAGAAUCCGGCGGAAGAGCAUCACCUGAAUUAUGUUAGUGAGAUUUGUGCUCUUACUUAUCAUGUUUGUGAUGCGCUUUUUCAGCAUCAACACUUCUGAUGUGGAUCCCCAGUCCAAACCCUUAGCGGUCCAUGAGGUGAGCCGCAUAGGGGGCCCGGAUUUGAACUCAGAGUGGCCGCCCACUUGGUGUCGCGGGGUUCGGUGAUGUAGAACCACUCCUGCUGCCACACCUUGACAGUCUCCACGAAGGCCCCCUUAGGCCAAACAGUGUUGGGGAGCUUGCUCACCAUGGUGCCGCCACAGUCCGCAUGCUGCCUAUCGACCACCUUCGGCUUCACAUUGAAGACCUUGAGCCAUAGGCCAAAGUGUGGGGGGGAUGCGGAGUAGCGCCUCACACACGACAAUGAACGCCGAGACGUGAAGGAAAGAAUUCAGGGCUAGAUCAUGGAAAUCUAACCCAUAGUAGAACAUGAGGCCCCGGACGAAGGGGUGGAGGGGAAGCCCUAGCCCGCAGAGGAAGUGGUGGAUGAAUACAACUCUUUCGCCGGGCUCCGGAUUGGAUGACUUGGUCCUUGGCAGGGAGCCUGUGCGCGAUGUCUGCAGACAAAUACCCCGCCCCUCGGAGUUCCUUGACAUCCUUCUUGGUGACAGAAGAGGCCUCCCACUUGCCCUUUGAACCGGAUCUAGACAUGGCUGGAAAGGCUGGUGGCGGUGGGAAAGAUUGAAGUUUGGGCGCUGGAGCUCGAAGAUGGGAAAACAGGAGAAGGAAGAAGGCGUGGGGAAAAUAAGGGAAUCUUUAUCCUCUUAUAUAGGCUGUGAAUAUCAAACGCCUCCCCUCAAGCCUUGAAACUCGCCUAUUCCCGAGGGGUCGUGCAAAUGGCACGGUUGGAUUACCCAAAACCGUAUUGAUGAGGAUCCCAUAAUGGGCGGGCACGAUCUCUGUUUUGACAAGACGUGCCAAUAGAGGUUGUGCCUCGAAACACGAAGCGGGAGGUGUCAAAAUGGUUCGAAAUGUUAAGAGGCCAAACAUGAAUUUUCGCCAAAAAAAGUUGUCAGUGAAAAGAUACUAUUUUAUUUGGUAUCUUACCUUCAUGACCAAGGGUUGCCGCAAUUAAACAGAGUCGGAUACAGUUCUUUUAUUUAGAAGAUUGCUUUGAAGUACUCAGGAGGAGGAACCCGCCUUGCAAUGCCGGAGACAAUACGCAUGCCGAACAUAUCGUCAUUGAAGACUGGUUCAGGGGCUACUGAGGGAGUGAUUAGGGGGUCCUCGGGUGUCCGGGCUAUGUGACAUGGGCCGGACUGUUGGGCUGUGAAGAUAUAAGGCAGGAGGCCUUCUCCCGUGUCCGGGUAGCACUCUCCUUUGCGUGGAUGGUAAGGUUGGUGUCCGGAUAUGUAAUUUCCUUCCUCCGUGAACCGACUCUGUACAACCCUAGGCCCCUCCGGUCUGUAUAUAAACUGGAGGGUUUAGUCCAUAGAGGCUAUCGGAAUUCAUAUAGGCUAGACUGCUAGGGUUUAGCCAUUACGAUCUCAAGGUAGAUCAACUCUUGUAACCCCUACACUUAUCAAAUACAAUCAAGCAGGACGUAGGGUUUUACCUCCAUUAAGAGGGCCCAAACCUGGGUAAACAUCGUGUUCCCCCUGUCCCUUGUUACCUUCGAUCCUCAGAUGCAUAGUUCGGUACCCCCUACCUGAGAUCGGCCGGUUUUGACACUGACACCGCCCACAACUCUUUGUGUUCUACUCGUGCAUAUCAUCUACGCAUAGACCUGGCUUAGAUGCCACUGUUGGGGAACAUAGCAUGCAAUUUCAAAAAAUUCCUACGCUCACGCAAGAUCUAUCUAGGAGAUGCAUAGCAACGAGAGGGGGAGAAUGUGUCCAUGUAGCCUCGUAGAUCGAAAGCGGAAGCGUUUGACAACGCAAUUGAUGUAGUCGAACUUCUUCUCGUUCCGACCGAUCAAGCACCGAAUGUAUGGCACCUCCGAGUUCUGUACACGUUCAGCUCGAUGACGUCCCUCGAACUCUUGAUCCAGUAAAGUGUCGAGGGAGAGUUUCGUCAGCACGACGACGUGGUGACGGUGAUGGUGACGUGAUCCACGCAUGGCUUUGCCUAAGCACUACGUGAAUAUGACCAGAGGUGUAAACUGUGGAGGGGGGGGCACCGCACAUGGCUAACAACUAUUGAUGUGUGUUCCAGCGGUGCCCCCCUCAUAUAUAUAGGUUGGAGGGGAGGAGAGGCAGCCAACGGGGUGCCCCAAGUAGGAGGAAUCCUACUUGGGGCCACCCCAAUUCGGCCUCCCCGCUUUCCAUAUCCACUGGAGGGGGAAGGAAGGAGGAGGGAGGAGGGAAGGAAGGGGGAGGCCGAAUCCCUCCCCUUCCUUUCCCCUUCUCCUCUUUCCUUCCCCUCCCAAUUUGGCCUACAUGGGGCACACCAGCCCCCAUAGGGGCUGGUCUGUCCCCUUCUUGGCCUAUUAGGCCCAUGUAGUUGCCGGGGGGAUGCCCAGAACCCCUUCCGGUGACCCGAUAUGUACCCGGUACCCUCGGAACACUUCCGGUGUCUGAAUAUUAUCGUCCAAUACAUGAAUCUUUACCUCUCGACCAUUUUGAGACUCCUCUCCAUGUCUAUGUUCUCAUCCGGGACUCCGAACAACAUUCGGUCACCGAAUCACAUAACUCAUAUAAUACAAAAUCAUCAUCGAACGUUAAGCGUGCAGACCCUAUGGGUUCGAGAACUAUGUAGACAUGACCGAGACACCUCUCCGGCCAAUAACCAACGGCGGAACCUGGAUGCUCAUAUUGGUUCCCACAUAUUCUAUGAAGAUCUUUAUCGGUCGUACCAUAAUGACAAAUACGUUAUUCCCUUUGUCAUCGGUAUGUUACUUGCCUGAGAUUCGAUCGUCGCUAUCUUCAUACCUAGCUCAAUCUCGUUACCGGCAAGUCUCUUUACUCGUUCUGUAAUACAUCAUCCCGCAACUAACUCAUUAGUCACAUUACUUGCAAGGCUUAUUAUGAUGUGCAUUAUCGAGAGGGCCCAGAGAUACCUCUCCGAUACUCGGAGUGACAAAUCCUAAUCUCGAUCUAUGCCAACCCAACAAACACCUUCGGAGAUACCUGUAGAGCAUCUUUAUAAUCACCCAGUUACGUUGUGAUGUUUGAUAGCACACAAGGUAUUCCUCCGGUAUCCGGGAGUUGCAUAAUCUCAUAGUCAAAGGAAUAUGUAUUUGACAUGAAGAAAGCAAUAGCAAUAAAACUGAACGAUCAAUAUGCUAAGCUAAUGGAUGGGUCUUGUCCGUCACAUCAUUCUCCUAAUGAUGUGAUCCCGUUCACCAAAUGACAACACAUGUCUAUGGUUAGGAAACUUAACCAUCUUUGAUUAACGAGCUAGUCUAGUAGAGGCUUACUAGGGACACCGUGUUUUGUCUAUGUAUCCACACAUGUAUCAAGUUUCCGGUUAAUACAAUUCUAGUAUGAAUAAUAAACAUUUAUCAUGAUAUAAGGGAAUAUAAAAUAACAACUUUAUUAUUGCCUCUAGGGCAUAUUUCCUUCAGUAAGAGCGGGAUAGAAGUGCGGAGUAGGUAAGCCAUGCGUUGCAGGAGGGAGAGUCGAGGUCAAGGACACCGCGACAUGAUCCUCGAUGGGUAGGUCCUUGAGAUGGGAGGAGGAGAAGGUGGGCGCGGCAAAGGAACUCUCAUCAGAGAGGAAGGAGCGUGAUACAACUAUGAUGAUGAGAGGGGUGGGUAGGGCGGCGGUGGCUUAUGACGGGACAAAAGCGACGGCGGCUGCGACUAGGGGUGGAAGAGAAGGGGCAACAAUGGCUUGGGAAGGAAGAGACGACAUCCAAGGGUAGAGAUGGAGGCGGUGGUGGUGGCUUAGGAGGCAUGGUGGCGACCUAGGGCAGAAGCGAUGAGAUCGCGAAGGAAACUGAUACCAUGUAGAAAGGAUAUUAGAUGCAACUCAAUUGUAUUCAUCUAAGUCAUUUACAAUAUAUACAUGAGAUGUCUUGCGUGACAAACCAACUAUCCCUACCAAAUCUCUAGAAGUUAAAAUAUGCAUGACUAGAGAUAAGAGAGAGAACAAUUGGGAGAUAUGUACAAAUAUGUCACGUUCAACAGCCUGCCUCGUCGGAAUUUGCCCAUCGUUAAGCACCAAUCAAAGUUAGUAGAAGCACCAACAUGUUUCAGUCAUGCUUCUGUUUUGCACCAUUAUCUUUCACAUGUACAUCUGAGGAUGGUUCAUCACGUUGUAGCCGACUGAAUUAUAUAUCACUUUUAUCUGUGCAGUUCUCCUUUUGAGAACAGAAUGACUAUAAUUUGUGUAUGGAGCAAAGGCGUCGAUCAACAUGGCAGAUUAAUUAAUUGGUUUCGAAAAGGAAAGCAUAUAAGUUGCUCAGCAAAACAAUUUUUGUCGUGUAAAUAUUGGUUGUAUUUUACCGAUAUGCAUGGUUGAACAUUACUACUUAUGUUACCUGAGUAGUAAUGUAAGAUGAAGUGAAACAUGGUGGACAUGGUUUCAGAGCUUGCGGAGAGAUGUCAAGGGUGAUGUUGAGGCCGGUGGCGAAAGAAAUGGCCAAAUGCGGUUCCUCAACACUAGCGGGAAAGAAGGCCCAUGGGUUACCGUAGGGCAAUGCAGUGUGUAUUACUGGGUUCCAUUUUCAACUUGAGAAGAACUCAUGAACGAUAUGUGCACGAUUCAUCUGUCCAUUUAUUUGAUCCUUCCUUAUUCCACUCACUCAGGUUCAUUUACUCACGCACUUACCCAUAGUUUGAUGUGUUGAGAAAUUUUGACCUUAAUUCUAAUGUGGAAUAUCUUAUAUAUCCAUAAACCUCAGAUAUUCUUUUCAGCAGAACAUGAUCAUUAUGUUUAUAUAUGCAACUAGUAAAAAAUUUAAACUGCUCGUGGCAACGCAUGUGCAUUCUACUAGUUACUAGUAAUAACGUAGGAUUGUCAUAUGGAAACCCAAAAAAUGUUUUCCAGCCGCUCAAGCUUUUCUUUACCUUAAUUCGAUCUAUGUUCACCAUGAUUUUAAGUGCACGUGUUUUUUAUUGAACACCGUACAGACGCAAGCGCUCAUAUACACGCGCAUACACCCACCCAUAUGAAUGCACACACGCAUACCCUACCUCUAUGAGCAUCUCCGAAGGACUGAGCCGACAUAUCAUCUUGAAAUUUACGAAGUCGCCGUAGGCACCUCGUCGUCGACGGGAACGUCUCCUCCCACUGAAUGCACAUCGCCGGAAAUAAGCUUAUACACUAGAGCACUAAUUUUAUUUUGCGGGGAGUUGAAAAAUCAAUUCCACCAUUUUUUUGAGAAUAAUCAGUUCCACCAUUUUUUUUUAGAAGUAUUAAUUCCACCAUUUAUUUAGGGGUAUCAAUUCCACCAAAGUCUCAUCGUCCUACAUCUGCAAUGGGCCGAAACUCCGUCAUAAAAAGUUCAGCCCAACACCACUCGGACCCCCCACCACAGAGCUAUAAAAUAGAACCAUCUCCAAACCCUCGCAAACCCUAGUCCCCCCACACCAACCACCCUUCUCCCGCCGCCGCCCCGCGAAGCAAAGCAGGAGGAGCAGGAUGCCGGCGGGCCACGGUCUGCGGUCGCGGACGCGCGACCUGUUCGCGCGCCCGUUCCGGAAGAAGGGUUACAUCCCGCUCACCACCUACCUGCGCACCUACAAGGUCGGCGAGUACGUCGAUGUCAAGGUGAACGGCGCCGUGCACAAGGGUAUGCCGCACAAGUUCUACCACGGCCGCACCGGACGCGUGUGGAACGUCACCAAGCGCGCCAUCGGCGUCGAGAUCAACAAGCAGGUAUAUAUCGAUCCCGUUUUCUUCCCUCGCGGCUGUGCUGGCACAGAUUCUGUCGAUCUGCGUCCCUGAGGUACUUGCUUCACAGUGAUGCCGCCGUCGUGGCAGGCUCCCAUUUGUAGGAUUUGUUCAACUGAUUGUUGUUUGCAAUUGCGAUUCUGUUUAUUUAGUAGCUGUAAUGGGCUUUUACAGCCUCUUGUUGGAAGGCUUGACAUUCUUAGAUCUGCCUGCUUGGUAGGUGUCGCAUACAGAGGAUUUAAUGGCGAUAGUGUGGGUUAAUGCUUGUGCGGCUGCAGUCAUCCAACGUUAUCAUGUUUUAUAUGCUCUGAAGAUUCAUUAUGGUUGUAGUAAUCCAAGAUGUUGUUUUGUCAUCAGUAUGGGAACAAAUGGUAGCUAAGGCGAGGAGGGUUGAAGCUGAAGUUGUUCAGUGUUUGUUGUACACACAUGUUCCCUCAAAUGGUUUUAGCUGCUUCCAUUGCAUGGAAUACUAAAUUUGGACUGUCCCAGCUUUACAAUUCUAUUAGUUUCGUCUAUUGAUUGUUGUGUGAUUAGAGACUGAUAAAGUGUUGAGUGCAUUUACAAUUAUGGCAUAUUGAAGAUUACUGCUUUGCUGAGCAAACAGUCCCCUAGGAUUUCUGCCCAACAAAGAUCAUAGUAAUCCAUUCUGCUGUGGCCCUGUAUACUAGCAUGUUAUCUCUUUUCUGAAGUAGAUAAGAUCCAUUCUGUUGUUAGUGUUAAGAUAUGUAUGUUUUGCCCUUUGUUUUCUUUGAACUACACCUCAGGUUAUAUGGCUGUAUUGUGCUCUAGUGGAACAUACUAUUUUAUCGUAAAAUUUCAUGUAGACUCAAGUUCAGGACUAAUAUAUUUACAAUCACAAUCCUGUUUACAUUGUCCAGGUUGGAAACCGCAUUAUCAGGAAAAGGAUCCAUGUCCGUGUUGAGCAUGUGCAGCCAUCCAGGUGUGCGGAGGAGUUCCGCCUGAGGAAAGUGAAGAAUGACCAGCUCAAGGAGGAAGCCAAGGCACGUGGUGAGGUCAUCAGCACCAAGAGGCAGCCGCUCGGCCCUAAACCUGGGUUCAUGGUUGAGGGUACCACAAUCGAGACCGUCACUCCCAUUCCGUACGAUGUGGUCAAUGAUCUCAAGGGUGGUUACUAGGGUGUUUGGGUUAUCUGCCUGCACAACCAGUUCAAAUCUAUGGUGCUCUUAUGGGUUGGAUUUGCUCUCUGAGCAGUAGUCUGGGUUGGGUCUUUAUUCAUGUCAAGAAGAUUUUCGGUGUAGGUUGCUAUCAUGAGUUUUGCAGAAAUGCUAUACUGUGCUAUUUCCUUAAGAAUGAUGAUGUGCUCUUUUGAACUAUGUAGUUACAUUGCUUACCUCCGAAGGUUCUCUUUGCCUCUACAGCCUUGGUACUGCAGAGCUGCUGCAGCUUGCUGUUUGUCUUUUGAACUUUGACCCAAUCGAUUCAAUUACUUCUCAGUGCAUUUUGUAUAUUACGUACUUGCUUGAUCUACAUCUUGUUUGCACGCCAUAGCUUGGGGGAUUGCUUCUCCGCUUGCUUG
Molecule: long non-coding RNA, 28847 nt
Filed under: Triticum aestivum (bread wheat)
Lineage: Eukaryota; Viridiplantae; Streptophyta; Magnoliopsida; Poales; Poaceae
Description: long non-coding RNA (TAES_LNC020540)
Source: RNAcentral